UCCUUCAGCGAGUACCAAGUUCCAGUAUCCCAAUUGGCAGAGGAUGCAAGCUCAAACCUUGUAUUAGUGACGGUU
This 75-nucleotide transfer RNA is filed under the name Citrobacter phage Mijalis. Its description in RNAcentral is "tRNA-Val". Lineage: Duplodnaviria; Heunggongvirae; Uroviricota; Caudoviricetes; Andersonviridae. The record is from RNAcentral.